Molecule: long non-coding RNA, 1201 nt
Filed under: Oncorhynchus kisutch (coho salmon)
Lineage: Eukaryota; Metazoa; Chordata; Actinopteri; Salmoniformes; Salmonidae
Description: lncRNA (ENSOKIG00005023582.1)
Source: RNAcentral
UUUUACUUCAUGUGUAACUCUGUGUCGUUGUAUCUGUCGAACUACUUUGCUUUAUCUUGGCCAGGUCGCAAUUGUAAAUGAGAACUUGUUCUUUUUUUUUCUUUUUUUUUUAUGUAUAAUCUUUUUAAUUUUUUAUGUAGAAACGAGAGAAGAGGAAGCAUGAUAAGAUCCUUCCUGAGGAGCUCUUCCCAGCCAUCAUCAACCUCAACCAGUUCCUCUCUCCAGAACAUUACAUUGACUACAUCGCCUGGGACAUGGCCCGGUACAGCAAGAGACAUCUGACGUUCUGAGUAGCUCUGGGGUUUCUCGCUUGGAGGCUACCAUGCUGCUCUCUGGAGGGCCAGCCUUCUAAGACAACCACAAAAAAAAAAUUCAAGCAGGAAAGAGAAUGGAAGAAAAGGAUUUUGGGCUCUGCUGGAGAAGAGGCAGGACAAUACUGGUUACUCAGCCAGCCUUGGUUGGCCUGUAACCUUGUCUCCUGUAUGAGAUGUCAGCAUGACCGCUUAUAUAAUCUGUUAUCAGGCUAGUACAGCUAGGUCUUAAUACUGUAUCUCUAGCUUUGAUUAGAUUGCAUCUUGAGUUCAACCCCAUCAAAUCAAGACAUGGAUGGAAAAAACAUUAGCGUAUGAUGCUUUGCAUAAGAGCAUCGGGCUGGACUUGGCAAUGAAGCAAGCCUAGAGUGACUAAAUUGAUAAGCAGAGAAGAUUGGAUGGUAAUCUGGAUGGUAAUGAAAGAGAUGCUAUGAGUAGAGCCUAUGUUCCUCUGGUUGUUAUCAUACAGUGCUUUAGGCCAUUGUGGAAUUGGAGAAUUACUCCUUGAUGCACCUGUCCUAAAUGUGUUCAGAUUCAGAAACUUAAGAGUUGUGCCAUCUCUAGAAAAUUGGAGUAUAAAAGUUCAACAAACAUACUAAACAUACCCUCCUCGGAUGGGGAGACCUUGCUGGAUGUCUCACCUCAAGUGGGCACAUAUCAACUUACUGUUUUCCUGUGGCUUGGCUGCUCCUAGGACGAUGAAAAUAAAACCUAAUAUAACUCAAACGGAAAGCAUUUGCAUUUUUGCGCAGUCCAGGCAGUGCUGAGAAUGUUUUGCAUGUUUAUCCAUUUAAUGUUUCAGAACAAGUUAUCCUGAUUAUUGAUUGUUUUUUCCCCUAAACUGUUUUGUAGCUUAUAUAAAUGAGGAAUGAUGGAUUAAAGAUGUUGUC